UACGUAGGGCGCAAGCGUUGUCCGGAAUUAUUGGGCGUAAAGAGCUCGUAGGCGGCCUGUUACGUCUGCUGUGAAAUCCCGGGGCUUAACCCCGGGCGUGCAGUGGAUACGGGCAGGCUGGAGGCAGGCAGGGGAGAACGGAAUUCCCGGUGUAGCGGUGAAAUGCGCAGAUAUCGGGAGGAACACCGGUGGCGAAGGCAAUCCCCUGGGCCUGCACUGACGCUCAUGCACGAAAGCGUGGGGAGCAAACAGG
RNAcentral lists this ribosomal RNA (253 nucleotides) under uncultured bacterium. Its description in RNAcentral is "partial 16S ribosomal RNA". It matches the Rfam family "Bacterial small subunit ribosomal RNA", at positions 524 to 776 of the family's 1533-position model. The record is from RNAcentral.